GACGAACGCUGGCGGCGUGCUUAACACAUGCAAGUCGAACGGAAAGGCCCUGCUUUUGUGGGGUGCUCGAGUGGCGAACGGGUGAGUAACACGUGAGUAACCUGCCCUUUACUUUGGGAUAACUUCAUGAAACUGGGGCUAAUACCGGAUAGGAGCUCCUGCUGCAUGGUGGGGGUUGGAAAGUUUCGGCGGUUGGGGAUGGACUCGCGGCUUAUCAGCUUGUUGGUGGGGUAGUGGCUUACCAAGGCUUUGACGGGUAGCCGGCCUGAGAGGGUGACCGGCCACAUUGGGACUGAGAUACGGCACAGACUCCUACGGGAGGCAGCAGUGGGGAAUAUUGCACAAUGGGCGGAAGACUGAUGCAGCAACGCCGCGUGCGGGAUGACGGCCUUCGGGUUGUAAACCGAUUUCGCCUGUGACGAAGAGUGAGUGACGGUAAUGGGUAAAGAAGCACCGGCUAACUACGUG
This 468-nucleotide ribosomal RNA is filed under the name uncultured bacterium. Its description in RNAcentral is "partial 16S ribosomal RNA". It matches the Rfam family "Bacterial small subunit ribosomal RNA", at positions 28 to 507 of the family's 1533-position model. The record is from RNAcentral.